Molecule: ribosomal RNA, 543 nt
Filed under: uncultured bacterium
Lineage: Bacteria
Description: bacterial SSU rRNA
Rfam family: Bacterial small subunit ribosomal RNA
Source: RNAcentral
AAUAGAUACCCCGGUAGUCCUAGCCGUAAACGAUGUAUACUAGGUGUAACCGGACUCAACCCCGGUUGUGCCGGUAGCUAACGUGUUAAGUAUACCGCCUGGGGAGUACGCUCGCAAGGGUGAAACUCAAAAGAAUUGACGGGGACCCGCACAAGCAGUGGAGCAUGUGGUUUAAUUCGAUGCAACGCGAAGAACCUUACCUAGACUUGACAUGUAGUGGACCGCACCAGAGAUGGUGCUUUCCUUCGGGACCAUUACACAGGUGCUGCAUGGCUGUCGUCAGCUCGUGCCGUGAGGUGUUGGGUUAAGUCCCGCAACGAGCGCAACCCUUGUCGUUAGUUGCCAACAGUUAGGCUGGGAACUCUAACGAGACUGCCUGGGUUAACCAGGAGGAAGGUGAGGAUGACGUCAAGUCAGCAUGGCCCUUAUGUCUAGGGCUACACACGUGCUACAAUGGUCGGUACAGAAGGUAGCGAACCCGAAAGGUCAAGCAAAUCCUAGAAAGCCGAUCCCAGUUCGGAUUGUAGUCUGCAACUCGACUAC